RNAcentral lists this small nuclear RNA (20 nucleotides) under Arabidopsis thaliana (thale cress). RNAcentral's name for it is "snRNA_11372". Lineage: Eukaryota; Viridiplantae; Streptophyta; Magnoliopsida; Brassicales; Brassicaceae. The record is from RNAcentral.
AAAUAGAACUUACGUUUGGG